Long non-coding RNA from Caretta caretta (loggerhead turtle), 1884 nucleotides. RefSeq lists it as uncharacterized. Lineage: Eukaryota; Metazoa; Chordata; Testudines; Cheloniidae. The record is from RefSeq and is a predicted model, not a curated record.
CAUCAUAGCCACACAUCAGAUGCCAAGUUCUUAUUAAAAGCGUGGUGAUCAUCCAGCAUGUGCAUGCAUCUAGCUUGUGUAUUUGGGCAUUCUGUAAUUAUAGCAUCUCUUGUAAUAAAUACCUGAAACCACUCAUAGAUUCAAAAGAUUAAAUCAUCACUUUUCAUGUAUUAGAUGGACAUAAUUGAGCAAGUUCUAUUGUGGGAACUGCCAUGCUAAUUUUUGUGAUUUUAUGCAUGGAUUUACAUAUUCAUGAAGAGAAUAGCUGUUAUGACUGCCGACAGAGCAACAUGAAAAGAAAAGAAACCAUUCUCCAGCAUACAGAGUAUACAAAAAUCUAGGGGGAAAACAUGCAGCAUAUGGCGACAAGAAGGAGAAGUUGUUUGGUUUUUCAGGGUGAUGUUGAUUUCCUAUUUAUAAAAUUUCCGAGUAGACGGCUUACAAAAAUAUGCCCCUCCAUCUCUACUGGGUACUGUAUCUCCACAGCUCACCCACAUUGCAGCAGAAGCCUGGGCCAGAAUACCUUCACAGACCAUUCCAAGAGGAAACAUUUCCGUGAUGAAUUUAUGGUUGAAGUUCUGGACAGGGCCAACAAGCAGGCCCAGUACCAGAAACAGAGGGACUAUGGCUAGAAGAACGGAUUUCAGCAUGGGAGAAGGCACUUGCUUCACAGUUCCUGGAAUAGGAACGGUGGCUAAGGGAGGAGGACAGCACUUAGCAGAAAAUGCUGUAUAAGUGGCUGAUACCAUGAAUGGCAGCAAGAGUACCAGCUUCUGUUGCGUCACCCACACCACAGCCUGAGUCCCUUAAGUAGUAGCUUGGAUGCAGUCCAGAAACAGCAUGGAAAAUUUCAUGGCUGGGUCACCCAUGCAAUCAUGCCCCAUGAACAGCUGGACAGGGCAAUUUUUCAUAUGUAUAAUAAUAAUUUAAUUAUUGUAUAAUAUGCAGCCCUCCAAAUUGAGCCCUGCCCUGUGGAUGCCUCUGCUCACACCAAGUGCAUGUGUGACACUGACAGACCAGUUAACCUGGGUAUGACCCAUAACAGCAUAGCAAGAGGCACUGAAAUGUAAUCAAGACAAUCUACUUAUAUGUGAAUUUCAAAGAGAUGUACUAGACCAGCAAUCAUUUACUCAUUUAUUUGUAGUAACAGAAAUCAAGGGUAGGUGCUAAAUGUAUUUGUCUCUGUUUACCUUUUGUCUUGUUAGAAGUUUAACUGUGUAACCAGCUUAGCUUGUAAAUGCUAAUUCCCUUUCAUGUCGUAACUGCCUUAUAUUAUGCAUGCAGAUGGUUCAGUUAAUCUUAAAAUAAAAAAAUAUUAGAUACUGCAGGAAACUAAUAAUAUUAUCUACCUUGUAUUCAGCUUAAUUAUCUAUUCUAUAAUGGCUAAUUCCCUUGUAUGAAUGAAUGCAACUAGGUUACCUGUGUAUGCAUAGGAAAUAGAUUAGCUUCAAAGCAAUUGUCCACGGACAAUCUGCACUGCCUAUUCUUCCUUGGGGGAAGGUCCUGCUGUAUCAAGAGGCUUGUCAGCUUGCUACAGAGCUAUAAAGGAAAUCUCCGGGCCUGAUCCUGCCAUCUCUAAUUUGCUUAAACUUUGAACAUGGAGUAAAGUAUAAGUGGUAAGAUGGAGAUCUUCCAAAUAAUUAUUUGGAAUAACCUGGAAGAUGCUUGGAAAGACUAACAGACUUUACAUCUAAACUGCCUUUGGAUUCUGACUGUUGGGAUGAUUCCAGAAAGACUUUCACAAGCCAGCAGUAUAUUGCAUCACUGCUGCGAUCCUGAACUGUGAACACUAAAAGUCACUUGUUUGCAUAUUUAUCUUUUAACUAUUUGCAACUCUCCUCUUUCUUAUUCUUUAUUAUUAAACCUAUAGUCUUAGUUAUUAAA